UGGGGUUUCUUGUUCCAAUGAAAGAGGAAACUCAGUGAUUUGAAGAGAACCUGCUGUGUGUAAGCACAAGUGUAUCUGGGCACAAAACUUAACACCUUCAUAACCAGAGAGAAGGCAUCCCAGCAACUGGACAGGCAUCAUGGAGAGGAAACUGGGAGCUGUGCUGGGGAUUCUGUGGUUGUGGAUUUGCUGGGUGAGAGGAGUUGAGGUGGAGCAGAGUCCUUCAGUCCUGAGUUUCCAGGAGGGAACCAGUUCUGCUCUGAGAUGCAAUUUUUCUACCACCAUGAGAAGUGUGCAGUGGUUCCGGAAGAAUCCCAGGGGCAGCUUCAUCAAUCUUUUUUACCUGAGUCAAGGAACAAAGGAGAAUGGGAGGUUAAAGUCAACAUUCAACUCCAAGGAGAGCUACAGCACCCUGCACAUCAGGGAUGCCCAGCUGGAGGACUCAGGCACCUACCUCUGUGCUGCAGAAGCACACCUGUUCAACUUCUUCAAAGGCAGCUCUGCUUCUGAUACUGUCACCUUCAUCAGUGACCGAGUAAUUCUGAAGAGAGGUACCAUGUUUUCAUCUUCAUCUUUUACUUUAUCUGCUUCCACCUUCACUGAGGCAAUCGAAGAAUUAUCUGCCAACUCCUCUCCAGUGGCAGGCCAUACGGAUUGGAUUUGA
Non-coding RNA from Peromyscus leucopus (white-footed mouse), 664 nucleotides. Lineage: Eukaryota; Metazoa; Chordata; Mammalia; Rodentia; Cricetidae. The record is from the annotation of a RefSeq genome assembly.